Molecule: transfer RNA, 76 nt
Filed under: Oceanicaulis sp.
Lineage: Bacteria; Pseudomonadati; Pseudomonadota; Alphaproteobacteria; Maricaulales; Maricaulaceae
Also listed under: 2 other names
Description: tRNA-Thr
Rfam family: tRNA
About the family: Transfer RNA (tRNA) molecules are approximately 80 nucleotides in length. Their secondary structure includes four short double-helical elements and three loops (D, anti-codon, and T loops).
Source: RNAcentral
GCCGGCUUAGCUCAGCUGGUAGAGCAGCGGUUUUGUAAACCGAAGGUCGGGGGUUCGAGUCCCUCAGCCGGCGCCA